This 460-nucleotide ribosomal RNA is filed under the name uncultured bacterium. RNAcentral's name for it is "partial 16S ribosomal RNA". It matches the Rfam family "Bacterial small subunit ribosomal RNA", at positions 338 to 795 of the family's 1533-position model. The record is from RNAcentral.
CCUACGGGAGGCAGCAGUGAGGAAUAUUGGUCAAUGGACGAGAGUCUGAACCAGCCAAGUAGCGUGAAGGAUGACUGCCCUAUGGUUUGUAAACUUCUUUUAUAUGGGAAUAAAAUAUUCCACGUGUGGGAUUUUGUAUGUACCAUAUUAAUUAGGAUCGGCUAACUCCGUGCCAGCAGCCGCGGUAAUAUGGAGGCUCCGAGCGUUGUACGGAUUGAUUGGGUUUAAAGGGAGCGUAGGUGGAUUGUUAAGUCAGUUGUGAAAGUUUGCGGUUUAACCGUAAAAUUGCAGUUGAAACUGGCAGUCUUGAGUACAGUAGAGGUGGGCGGAAUUCGUGGUGUAGCGGUGAAAUGCUUAGAUAUUACGAAGAACUCCGAUUGCGAAGGCAGCUCGCUGGACUGCAACUGACACUGAGGCUCGAAAGUGUGGGUAUCAAACAGGAUUAGAUACCCUAGUAGUC